GGAGGAUCCGAGCGUUAUCCGGAUUUAUUGGGUUUAAAGGGUGCGUAGGUGGUUUAAUAAGUCAGCGGUGAAAGUUUGCAGCUUAACUGUAAAAAUGCCGUUGAAACUGUUAGACUUGAGUGUAAAUGAGGUAGGCGGAAUGCGUGGUGUAGCGGUGAAAUGCUUAGAUAUCACGCAGAACUCCGAUUGCGAAGGCAGCUUACCAAGCUACAACUGACACUGAAGCACGAAAGCGUGGGGAUCAAACAGGAUUAGAUACCCUGGUAGUCCACGCAGUAAACGAUGAUUACUAGCUGUUUGCGAUACACAGUAAGCGGCACAGCGAAAGCGUUAAGUAAUCCACCUGGGGAGUACGCCGGCAACGGUG
This 367-nucleotide ribosomal RNA is filed under the name uncultured bacterium. Its description in RNAcentral is "bacterial SSU rRNA". It matches the Rfam family "Bacterial small subunit ribosomal RNA", at positions 527 to 896 of the family's 1533-position model. The record is from RNAcentral.